UCUGAGAGUAAACGGGUGGUACCCGAAAGUUCGAAAGGGGAGAUUCAUGUCUCGCCGCGAGCCGGGCGGCGGACGCGACCGGAGAUGGGAUCUCUGAGGUUGAGGGGCAACUUUCAACCCAGGGUUGCCACUCCGCGGCCGCUGUCAAUCCCGGCACGGAGUGACGCACUUCUCCCCGAGUAGGACGUCGCGACCCGUCGAGCGCCGGCCUAAGGUCUCGGGAGGAGUCUGCGAGGUCUGCUUUUUGCCGACCUCGCACGACCCCGAGAAUCCCGGCCGGGUGCCCGACGGUACGAAGCUUGGAAGGAGUCGACGCGCCAAUUUUGUUUGGCGUCCGGCCCUCUGCAAGCGCCCGCGGUAGACUGUGUUGCGGGCCUGGCCCGAUUCCAGUCCUCCGUGGGGCUGUUUGCGAUUAAGAGGUGUCCUCGGACGGCGUUGAUUCUCCAGUCGGCGACGCUUCAGCUUGGAUGGCCUACCCGACCC
RNAcentral lists this ribosomal RNA (483 nucleotides) under Progomphus obscurus. Its description in RNAcentral is "eukaryotic LSU rRNA". The record is from RNAcentral. Lineage: Eukaryota; Metazoa; Arthropoda; Insecta; Odonata; Gomphidae.